This 24-nucleotide microRNA is filed under the name Mus musculus (house mouse). RNAcentral's name for it is "mmu-miR-2139". Lineage: Eukaryota; Metazoa; Chordata; Mammalia; Rodentia; Muridae. The record is from miRBase by way of RNAcentral.
AGCUGCGCUGCUCCUGGUAACUGC